CCCUUAGAUGUUCUGGGCUGCACGCGCGCUACACUGAUGCGUUCAACGAGUUUAUGACCUUGCCCGAUAGGGUUGGGUAAUCUUUUUAAAUCGCAUCGUGAUGGGGAUAGAUUAUUGCAAUUAUUAAUCUUCAACGAGGAAUUCCUAGUAAGCGCGAGUCAUCAGCUCGUGCUGAUUACGUCCCUGCCCUUUGUACACACCGCCCGUCGCUCCUACCGAUUGGGUGCUCCGGUGAAUUGUUUGGACUGCUGUCAGUCUUUUAGGCUGUUGGCGAGAAGCUCUGUGAACCUUAGCACCUAGAGGAAGGAGAANUCGUAACA
This 320-nucleotide ribosomal RNA is filed under the name uncultured eukaryote. Its description in RNAcentral is "partial 18S ribosomal RNA". It matches the Rfam family "Eukaryotic small subunit ribosomal RNA", at positions 1470 to 1796 of the family's 1831-position model. The record is from RNAcentral.